UAAGUUAAUUAAUUUAAAUAAAAAUAUUUAUUUUGAAAAUAAAAAUUAGAAAUAAUAUCUAUUAACUUAU
This 70-nucleotide transfer RNA is filed under the name Nippolachnus piri. Its description in RNAcentral is "tRNA-Ser". The record is from RNAcentral. Lineage: Eukaryota; Metazoa; Arthropoda; Insecta; Hemiptera; Aphididae.